This 1844-nucleotide long non-coding RNA is filed under the name Apis mellifera (honey bee). RNAcentral's name for it is "uncharacterized LOC113218821". Lineage: Eukaryota; Metazoa; Arthropoda; Insecta; Hymenoptera; Apidae. The record is from RNAcentral.
UGAAAUUUUGAAUUAAUUUUUUUAACAGUUCAAUGUAAGUAAAGAUAAUAAUAAAUUCUUUUUCUUAGAGAAGAACAAGGUUUAUAAACAAGUUUUAUAAGAAUCAAAGGAAACUAUAAUUCUGCCUGCAACAAGUAUAAACCAGUCAAUCUAUAUCCGAAAAAACUAGAUCGAUUUGUUGAUCUAUAAAAAUUCAAUUCCAACGUAGAGAAAAACGAUUCAAUGGAAACUUUGUUCCACGAUCGAGUGACAUAAAUGGAAUGCGUGAUGAAAAAAUUUAAUUUAUUGAAGGCGUUGUUUUCCAUUACGGGAAAACAACGAAAGAAGGAAAUAUGUCGUCGAAAAGAGUUCUUCAGGACGCGGAGCAAGUUUUAGAGAUCACAUCAUUUAAAAGGAGACAUUGUUUCACGAGCUAAAAAGCUGAAAGUGACCAGUCACCAAGAAAGUUGCUAGUCGAUAAGAAUUAGUAAUGCGAACUGGCUAAAUAUGACUAGAUACUUCUUAUUGUUAUAGUCAAGUAGAUAAGAACAAAGGGCCGGCAUUGCGAAAGGAAAAGGAGGAACGUUAAUGGCCUUUCCAACGAGGAGAACUUGACAAAUAGUGGUCGACGGCGAUGAAAGAGCGGCUGCGUUUCGUUACACGGCCGCGUAACGAGUUCGGUCUUUCAGAGCGGGAAAAGGGUCGACCAUAAAGAACCGAGGCGAUGCGGAGGACAGCCUGGAUCGGGAGCUUUUGUGACUACCUACUGCCUACGCGAGCCUAAGAUAUAUCACGUGUCUGGAACAGUCGAGGGAAACGAGCGAGGGAAAAUUUGAAAAACGCAAUGUCCGAGGCCAGGAUAUAAAUUAACAUACACCAAUGUGCCAGAAUUGGCGAAAGAACGAAGUAGAAAAAGCAAGAAACGAGAAGAAAAGAAGAAAGAGAAGGGCGAUCGCAAUGGACACCUUCCGUUCUAUCGGAGGGUGGAAGAUUUGAGAUAUCGGAUCGAAGGGAAAGCUGAAAAUACGGGGAGGUCAAGUAGCAGCGAAUACAUUCGAGAUAAAGGCGGCGGGCCGAUGUCAAGGCUACCGUGAGACACGUCUCGAUAGCGACGCGUGGAAAAAUACGAUGCGGCUGGUAAAUUGCGAAGCGAAACGUCUCGAGGCUUCCUUGAUCGGCUGAUAUAUCGGCGCUCGAAACGACGACGUGACUUCGAAGCGACGUCGGCGAUCCUCUCGAAGCCGCCUCGAGGGGAACACCUUAAAUGGUGCACACGCCUAUGGUCCUUUGGUUCCACGCCGAUUAAUAGGCAAUAAAUAACGAGCAUAAACGGUGUUAUCUUAUUAAGAUACAUCAACGUCCGGUAUUUCCAUUAUCGUGCCGGCUUUUAACGUUCCGACGAUGGAAAAUGGAAACGGGGGAGGGGGUAAAUACGUGUGCUCGGGGAACCUUAGAGGCCAGUUUCGUGUUUUAUUAGAGGUACACCACUUAUGGUAUUGUGGCACACGAUUCUGUGGCUUCGAUCAUGAGAACGGGGUUACUGAGAUUACCGGUAUGUACGUAGGUAAUGUUUAUGUUGAACAAAAUGGAUCGAAUGCUUCGAAAUGUAGGGGAUAUCGAGGGAGCAAUUGCAGUAUGGAUGGAGGAGAGAAGUGGGUGAAGAAGUGAAAGGAAACAGUAGGAUACCUCUUGUGAAAUAUUUAGUUCGUCAAUGAGAUGGAAAGGUUAAUGGUGCGUUUAGAUAUUUAUACAUGAAUUUCUAUAUAUCUAAAAAAAAAAAGAUGAAUCAAAUUUUUGUGCGAAUAAAGAUUCAUUUUUACCAAAUGUGUAGUAAAAAAUGUAAUAAAUAAUUGUUUAAUAAUGUA